This is a non-coding RNA of Trichobilharzia regenti, 49 nucleotides long. NCBI's taxonomy places the organism in Eukaryota, Metazoa, Platyhelminthes, Trematoda, Strigeidida, Schistosomatidae. The record is from Rfam.
AUCUAGAUGGCGGACGAGUCCCAAAUAGGACGAAAUGCGCAUCCUGGAU